Molecule: ribosomal RNA, 266 nt
Filed under: uncultured Sphingobacteriales bacterium
Lineage: Bacteria; Pseudomonadati; Bacteroidota; Sphingobacteriia; Sphingobacteriales
Description: partial 16S ribosomal RNA
Rfam family: Bacterial small subunit ribosomal RNA
Source: RNAcentral
GUUGCCAUCAGGAAUGCUGGGACGUCUAAGGAACUGCCUACGCAAGUAGUGAGGAAGCGGGGAUGACGUCAAAUCAGCACGGCCCUUACGUCCAGGGCUACACACGUGCUACAAUGGCCGAUACAGAGGGCAGCUACCUGGUGACAGGAUGCAAAUCUCCAAAGUCGGUCUCAGUUCGGAUCGGAGUCUGCAACCCGACUCCGUGAAGUUGGAUUCGCUAGUAAUCGCGCAUCAGCCAUGGCGCGGUGAAUACGUUCCCGGGCCUU